Molecule: ribosomal RNA, 393 nt
Filed under: uncultured bacterium
Lineage: Bacteria
Description: partial 16S ribosomal RNA
Rfam family: Bacterial small subunit ribosomal RNA
Source: RNAcentral
CCUACGGGAGGCAGCAGUGAGGAAUAUUGGUCAAUGGCCGAGAGGCUGAACCAGCCAAGUAGCGUGAGGGAAGACGGCCCUACGGGUUGUAAACCUCUUUUGUCGGGGAGUAAAGCGAGUCACGUGUGACUUAUUGAGAGUACCUUAAGAAAAAGCAUCGGCUAACUCCGUGCCAGCAGCCGCGGUAAUACGGAGGAUGCGAGCGUUAUCCGGAUUUAUUGGGUUUAAAGGGUGCGUAGGGGGUGGUUUAAGUCAGUGGUAAAAUUUCGGGGCUCAACCGCGUAUUUGCGGUGAAACUGGAUGCCUUGAGUGCAGGUGAAGUAGGCGGAAUUCGUGGUGUAGCGGUGAAAUGCUUAGAUAUCACGCAGAACUCCGAUUGCGAAGGCAGCAUAC